CGGUGUUGUUGCGCUGCGG
RNAcentral lists this unclassified non-coding RNA (19 nucleotides) under Chlamydomonas reinhardtii. Its description in RNAcentral is "small RNA Cre_1362". Lineage: Eukaryota; Viridiplantae; Chlorophyta; Chlorophyceae; Chlamydomonadales; Chlamydomonadaceae. The record is from RNAcentral.